This 398-nucleotide ribosomal RNA is filed under the name uncultured bacterium. RNAcentral describes it as "partial 16S ribosomal RNA". It matches the Rfam family "Bacterial small subunit ribosomal RNA", at positions 523 to 918 of the family's 1533-position model. The record is from RNAcentral.
AUACGUAGGGCGCGAGCGUUGUCCGGAAUUACUGGGCGUAAAGAGCUCGUAGGUGGUUUGUCGCGUCGUCUGUGAAAUUCCGGGGCUUAACUCCGGGCGUGCAGGCGAUACGGGCUUAACUUGAGUACUGUAGGGGAGACUGGAAUUCCUGGUGUAGCGGUGAAAUGCGCAGAUAUCAGGAGGAACACCGGUGGCGAAGGCGGGUCUCUGGGCAGUAACUGACGCUGAGGAGCGAAAGCAUGGGUAGCGAACAGGAUUAGAUACCCUGGUAGUCCAUGCCGUAAACAGUGGGCGCUAGGUGUAGGGGUCUUCCACGACUUCUGUGCCGUAGCUAACGCAUUAAGCGCCCCGCCUGGGGAGUACGGCCGCAAGGCUAAAACUCAAAUGAAUUGACGGGG